CAAAGGUAAAGCAAUAUCUUAAGUUUAAGGAAACUGAACUUCAUCCACAACACAUUCAGUCAGCAUCUUCACCUUCAAUCUCUGGAGUAGUUAAACCAGGGAAGGUGGAAACUGAAUUAUUUGGAGAGAUCGGUGUCUCUCUUGAUAGAGAACCAAAAGUAAAGAGAUAUAUUCAAUUUAAACAGCCUAUAUCUCACCUUCCAGUUGUGUCACCCACCACUUCAGAUACACUGCAAGUCACAACUGAGGUGAAAACUAAAUCUGAAUCAAAGAGAUCGAGCACUUCUUCUGAGGAUGAUGUCAAAAAAACUGCCGAAGAAGUAGACAAUGUCUUUGGACAAAAAGGAACAUCUCUUGAUAGAGUCCCACGAGUUAGGAGAUACAUUCAAUUCACACAUCCUGAAAUUCAAUCUCCAGCUCAGACAACAACUGGUCUCUCAUCUGAAAGAGUCAAUGUAUCUAUGGUAGCUAAAGAAACAAGGAGAUGGAGCACUUCAUCUGAGGAAGAUAUUAAACCGACUACUAAAAAAGAGAAUAUCACUGAAGAAACAGAUCUUGCCAAAAUCCCAAAAGUAAAGAGGUACAUUAAGUUCACACAAUCUGAACCAUAUUCCUUGAAUCGGUCACCAUUUCUUCCUUUAACCACAGAAAAAUCCAUGAAGGUGACAGAAACCGAACUGAAACAACCAGACACAUCUGAGGAUGAUGUUCAGGAAGACAAUGGCUCUGGGCAAACAGGAGUGUCUCUUAAUAGAGUGCCAAGAGUUAAAAGAUAUAUUCAAUUCACACAUCCUGAAAGUCAAUCCUCUGCUCAGUCAACAUCUACUGUCUCAGCUCAAAGACUUGGAAUAUUGGGGGUAGUUCAAGACACAAGGAGAUCAAGCACUUCAUCUGAGGAAGAUCUCACACUAACUGCUAAGGAAGACAAUUUUGGUGGACAUAUUGGAGCACCUCUUGAUAAAAUACCAAAAGUUAAGCGAUACAUUAAUUUCACACAUCCUGAAAGUUAUUCUCCAGCUCAGACAACAACUGCUCUCUCAGCUGGAAGAGUCAACCUGUCUGUGAUAGCCAAAGAAACUAAGAGACCAAGCUCUUCCUCUGAAGAUGAUGAUAAACCAUCGACUAAUGAUGGCAAUAUCACUGGAGAAACAGGUGAAUCUCUUGACAAAAUCCCAAAAGUAAAGAGGUACAUUGAAUUCAGACAAUAUGAACCUUAUUCCUCAGCAGAGUCAAAACAUCAGUCUUCAAGUGUUGUUAAAUCCAUUAAGGUGACCGCAACAGAAUUAAGGGGAUCCAGCACUUCAGUUGACGAUUAUGUACAACCGGCUACUAAUGGAAACAAAACAGAAUCAACGGCACAGAUCACUUCAUCUGAAAAUCUUGACAGAGUACCAAGAGUUAAGAGAUACAUUCAAUUCACACCUAUUGAAAGUCAAUAUCCUGCUCGGGCACCAACUGCUGUCUUAGAUGACAGAGUUGGAAUAUCUGGGGUAGCUCAAGAAACAAAGAUAUUGAACACUUCAUCAAAAUAUGUUAAACCAUAUGCUACUAAUUAUAAUAUCAUUAGAAAAACAGACACAAAUUUCCCUCAAGAAACUGGAGUCUCUCUUGAUAAAAUCCCAAAUGUAAAGAGGUACAUUGCAUUCACAAAGAGUGGACCACCAUCUUCAACCAAAUUAACAAAAAGAGAUUUAACGCCAACAACAAAUGCAGUCCUAGAAACCACAUGGUCCAGUUUAUCAUCUGAGGUGUCACCUCCUACCUCAAUGAAAAAAAGGUCUGCAUUAAUAAUAAAGGCCGAAUCAGAAUCUACUUACAAGGACAACAUUAUUAAAGGAGAGCUUAUGGACAGUUCAGUGGAGCUGACUGGCCUAAAGUCAAAGUUAAGAAAUUCAAGUUCCUCGUCCAGUGACGAACAAUCUGUAGGACAUGAGGUUGUGGAUGUGGAUGUACCAGCACAAGAUGAGCCACCAGCAGUUCCACAGACAUCCCCACCUCCCCUAGAACAAGAGGAUGCCAGAGAGUAUCUCAGAGAAAAUUCUGAAGUCCAUCAAAGGCAAGAACACAGACGAUUAUUGCAGCAAAGGAGAAGGGAAAUUGAUGAGUUCAACAUUGCAUCCCUAUCCUCCAUGCAACAAGAAGGCGACAAGCAGGACAGAUCAUCGGCAGAUUACGGAGGAGUGACACCAUUCCAAAAAGAACAAACAUACAGCAGUGCAUCUACAAGGAACACAUUAACGUCCAGACGCACAGAAGGAGACAAAGCCCCAGUUUUACAUGGCCUUAAAACUCAGAGUACAUCAACACUCGGUUCAAAGUCACCAGUAAACUCAACUCCAAAGUAUAGG
Molecule: long non-coding RNA, 2348 nt
Organism: Sinocyclocheilus grahami
Lineage: Eukaryota; Metazoa; Chordata; Actinopteri; Cypriniformes; Cyprinidae
Source: Ensembl